RNAcentral lists this ribosomal RNA (497 nucleotides) under uncultured bacterium. RNAcentral's name for it is "partial 16S ribosomal RNA". It matches the Rfam family "Bacterial small subunit ribosomal RNA", at positions 28 to 507 of the family's 1533-position model. The record is from RNAcentral.
GAUGAACGCUGGCGGCGUGCCUAAUACAUGCAAGUCGAGCGGACGGACGAGAAGCUUGCUGCGCUGAUGUUAGCGGCGGACGGGUGAGUAACACGUGGAUAACCUACCUAUAAGACUGGGAUAACUUCGGGAAACCGGAGCUAAUACCGGAUAAUAUUUUGAACCGCAUGGUUCAUAAGUGAAAGACGGUCUUGCUGUCACUUAUAGAUGGAUACGCGCUGCAUUAGCUAGUUGGUAAGGUAACGGCUUACCAAGGCAACGAUGCAUAGCCGACCUGAGAGGGUGAUCGGCCACACUGGAACUGAGACACGGUCCAGACUCCUACGGGAGGCAGCAGUAGGGAAUCUGACGCAAUGGGCGAAAGCCUGACGGAGCAACGCCGCGUGAGUGAUGAAGGUCUUCGGAUCGUAAAACUCUGUUAUUAGGGAAGAACAGAUGUGUAAGUAACUGUGCACAGCUUGACGGUAACUAAUCAGAAAGCCACGGCUAACUACGUG